UAAGGAAUAUUGGUCAAUGGGCGGAAGCCUGAACCAGCCAUGCCGCGUGCAGGAAGACGGCCCUACGGGUUGUAAACUGCUUUUGUACCGGAAUAAACCCCGAUACGAGUAUCGGGCUGAAUGUACUGUAAGAAUAAGGAUCGGCUAACUCCGUGCCAGCAGCCGCGGUAAUACGGAGGAUCCAAGCGUUAUCCGGAUUGAUUGGGUGUAAAGGGUGCGUAGGUGGCCUGGUAGGUCAGGGGUGAAAGACGGUAGCUUAACUAUCGCAGUGCCUUUGAUACUGCCGGGCUUGAAUGAACUAGCGGUAGGCGGAAUGUGACAAGUAGCGGUGAAAUGCAUAGAUAUGUCACAGAACACCGAUUGCGAAGGCAGCUUACUAUUGUUUUAUUGACACUGAGGCACGAAAGCGUGGGGAUCAAACA
RNAcentral lists this ribosomal RNA (422 nucleotides) under uncultured bacterium. RNAcentral's name for it is "bacterial SSU rRNA". It matches the Rfam family "Bacterial small subunit ribosomal RNA", at positions 355 to 774 of the family's 1533-position model. The record is from RNAcentral.